GGUGGUGCAUGGUUGUCGUCAGCUCGUGUCGUGAGAUGUUGGGUUAAGUCCCGCAACGAGCGCAACCCUUAUUACUAGUUGCCAGCAUUCAGUUGGGCACUCUAGUGAGACUGCCGGUGACAAACCGGAGGAAGGUGGGGAUGACGUCAAAUCAUCAUGCCCCUUAUGACCUGGGCUACACACGUGCUACAAUGGCGUAUACAACGAGUUGCCAACCCGCGAGGGUGAGCUAAUCUCUUAAAGUACGUCUCAGUUCGGAUUGUAGGCUGCAACUCGCCUACAUGAAGUCGGAAUCGCUAGUAAUCGCGGAUCAGCACGCCGCGGUGAAUACGUUCCCGGGUCUUGUACAC
RNAcentral lists this ribosomal RNA (350 nucleotides) under uncultured Weissella sp. Its description in RNAcentral is "bacterial SSU rRNA". It matches the Rfam family "Bacterial small subunit ribosomal RNA", at positions 1037 to 1388 of the family's 1533-position model. Lineage: Bacteria; Bacillati; Bacillota; Bacilli; Lactobacillales; Lactobacillaceae. The record is from RNAcentral.